GCUUCAUCAAGGAAAAAAUCCCAGAGAAGUAUUGUUCCUCAAUUCAGCUAGUGGAACUCCACUUACCAAACUUGCCUGAACUUCCUCCUCAUUACCACACAACCAAUGGCCUUCCAAAACAUCUCAAACCAACUCUCUUUAAAGCCCUCAAGAUGGCCAGACCACAAUUUCACGAAAUCUUGAGUGCUAAGAAACCUGAUCUUUUGAUAUAUGAUAUAAUGCUCUUAUGGUCAUCUGUGGUUGCAACUACUCUCAACAUCCCAUCAAUAAAAUUCUACACUGUAAAUGCAGCUAUAUUUAGUUACUUUUUCCAUUUUUAUUACAAACCAGGAGAGCAAUUCCCUUUUCCAGCUCUGUAUCUCACGGAAUACGAGCAAGGCAAAAUGACACAUGAAGUUGUUAAUGAUGCGGAGGAAGAAGUUGACAGAGACAAUAUUACCGAAAAUGACAAGUUUGUGUUGGUGGAUAGCUCUAGAGCAAUAGAUGGAAAGCACAUAGAUUAUAUUGAUGGAACAGGCGAAGCAAAGGUUGUACCUAUCGGGACACGAUUUCAGCCAUAUGAUGUGAACCGAAGUGGCAAUGAUAUGGAGGAAACAGAACUGAUGAAAUGGCUUGGCAAGAAAAAGGAGCAUUCAACUAUUUAUGUCUCUUUUGGAAGUGAGUAUUUCUUAUCCAAGGAAGAAAUGGAAGAGAUAGCUUAUGGAUUAGAGCUCAGCAAUGUUAAUUUCAUAUGGGUUGUUAGGUUUCAAAAAGGAGAACAAGCUAAGCUUGAAGACGCACUUCCUCGAGGUUUUAUAGAAAGAAUUGGAGAAAGGGGAAUGUUAGUUGAAGGAUGGGCUCCACAGCAAAGAAUUCUGAAGCAUCCUAGUAUUGCCGCAUUCGUAACUCACUGUGGUUGGAAUUCAUCACUCGAGAGCAUAGAAUUUGGUGUUCCAAUCAUUGCCAUACCCAUGCUUUAUGAUCAACCUCUGAAUGCUAGGUUGUUGGGGGAAAUUGGCGUAGCCGUUGAAGUCUCAAGAGAUGGAAAUGGGAAUCUUGACAGAGCGAAUAUAGCUGAGAAUAUUAAACAUGUGAUUGGUGAUGAAACAGGGAAGUUUUUGAGAAAGAAGAUGAGUAGUCUUGGUGAGAAUGUGAGGUCGCGACGAGAGGAAGAGAUGGACGGAGUUGUUGAGGUGAUAGCAUUGCUAUGUGACAAGAAUCAGUCCAAGAAUGUCACUUAACAUAGAAAUGACAUGAGUUCGUAUCCCUCUUUUGCAAAUUUGUGUGUGUGAUUUCUAAUUUUCAGUUAUAAGUUUCCAGCUAUUUUUAGCUAUUGUUUGAUACUUGUAUCGUUCGACCAUUCUGUAACUGAAUAAAGAAACUUUAAUUUGCUUGGUGUGUCAAAAUAGUGUUUUGUCAUAUAAUUUGUCAUUAUUUGACAAAUAAUUCAAAUUUCAAAACAAUGUGUUAUGUACAUGUACAGCUGACGUGCACAUGGGGAUGAACACAGGUACGGGCGAGAUGGGUUUUGUCUUAUGUGGGGCAGGACGGAUCUAGCUUACUGCUGGGGGUGCCGCAGGGUGGGUUGAAAUUUCUUUAAAGAAUUUAGGUGUUGUUUGGUAGAAUAUAUUGGCAAAACUAAUGUAUGUAUUAAUUAAUAGCACUAGUAAACCUUAUUUGAACCAUAUUAUUACUAUGCAUAAAUAAUGUUUGUAUUAAUUAUACAAUGUAUUGUGUAUUAAAGUGUGUAUUAGGAAUAUACAUCAUUUUUUAUAUAUUAGUAAUGCAACACUUUCAACACAUAUAUUAAUUUAUUAAAUGUCAUUAUUACCUCUUAAAUUAUUUUUCCUCAUUUUUCCACCAUAUCACGCUCCCUUUUCCCUUUUCCACCAUAAUAAAAAUUACUUCCUAUUUUUUAAGGUUACUGCAUCUUGUUUUUCUCGUUAAUCAAACUACUGUAUCUUCUUCUUCUCCUUAAUCAAACUUAUUUUAUCCCUAUUAAUUCUAUCAAGGUUAUUAAUUCUAUCUUGGUCAUUAUUUCUUUUUUGUACCCCUAUUUCACAGUACAGGAUGCAUCCUUCGAUAAGUCAGUUCCCAAAUUUAAUUUUCCAUCGUAGUCAAUGCUUCAUUCGUGCAAAUGAAGAUACGGACAUGAGGAAAACAAUUUUUGAUGUCUAGAAGGAACUCGAUCAACAGAGAAAAAGUGAAUAUAGCUGCUGCAUUUACAUCUAUUCUCGGAAAACAGGGGCCAAGGAAGGAUUUAAAGAAAGGAUAAUUUGAUAAAUAAAUAUCUUUUUACAAAAAUUAUAUAAAUAUAUAUUAUCUUUAAUAAAUCAAAUCAAAUAAUGUGUAAAAAAUAAUGGAUGUGUAAUUAAUACCAUCAUUAUUAAUACUUACAUUAAUAAUACAAGUAUUAUUAAUACACCCUAUUUAACAUUAUUAUUAUAUACUCUACCAAACGACCCCUUAAGUACGGGUGCAGCUUCGAAACCGGUACAUCAAUACUUCAGGUAAUUGCAUUUUAUUUUUCUCGCCAAAUCACUUGACUGCCAUUUGAUAUGUAUUUAUAAAAAAUGUUUUCUGCUCAAAUAAAUUUUUGGUUCUUUUUAUGCCUUCUCCUAGUGUUAUUCUAGGGACAAAAGAGUCAAUAACUUAGCCAAAGUUGAGCUUUUAUUCCCUGUUAUGAUUAGGCCACUUUAUUGUUCAAAUUACUUCCAGAUGCGUUAACUAAUCACUUUAUAUAAAUUUUUUUUUAAAAAACUCAAAGGUUGUAUGCCCGAAUGCACAGUUAUAACAAAGAAGUUUGAUUCUCACAAUUCAAAAUUUAUCAUAUAAAUUAAGACGGAGGAAGUACUAAUUAGCGGUUCAAACUCACCAUUAUUUUACUUAACAGAAAAUUGAGAAGUAAGAUGAUUUGCACAUAUUUGUUGCUUUGAUUUUGAACAUUUUAGCGUGAGGUAAGGGGCAUAUAUUUAGCUGAACUUAUUAGACUCUUUUUUGGGCAUGAAGUUUGUGUGUAAAGUUUUGCUUCUUCGAAUUUUAACAUUUAAACACACGGUUCGCAACCCAAAUCUAACUUAAAUUUGAACACAAAUUUCAUAUUUCGUAAACAACAAAUCUCAAUUAUCAAUUUGGUAAAACAACAAAAAUAACUAAAAUUUUUAAAUUUUUUUAAAGACCCUCGAAACAAAGCAAAAAUAUAUUACAAUUAUUUAAAUCAAUUAUUCAUUGUUGUAGAUUAAAAUGGUGGGAAAAAAUUGUGAAAUAUUUUAAAAAGAUUUACUAUUAUUGCAAAUUAAAAUGGAAGGAAAAAGAAUGGUGAAAUACUUUGUGAGAAAAAUUGAGGGGUAUUAAGAUCAUUUAAUAAGUUAAUGGAUGUAUUAAAGACUUUGCAUUAUUAAUGCAUAGAAAAUGGGUGAUAUUAGUAAUACACACCUUAAUAUACAAUAAAGUAUAUAACUAAUGCUUGCAUUAGUUAUACAUUGAUUAAAAAUUAUACCAAACAAGAUAUUCAUAAUACACAUUAAUUAAUACAUGUGUUAUUUUUGCCAAUACACUCUACCAAACAACCCCUAAAUGAUUAGCUUAGAAAAUUCGUGUUAUAUGUGGUGGAUCACUGGGGGCCUUGUCAUAAUAUAGGUGCAAACUGCCAGAAAUACCCUUACUUUUUCUAUCUUUUCUAAGGUCUUUUCUCCACAAAUUUGAUUUAUAAAGAGCUUCCUUUACACACAAAACACAGUUUACAAACGGAAGUCAUGGCUUCAGGUUCAGAACAUCGAAACUUGAGAAUUGUAAUGUUGCCAUACUUAGCUUAUGGCCACAUCACACCUUUCCUUGCACUAGCCAAGAAACUCUCAGAUAGAGGCUUCUCCAUUGACAUAUGUUCCACUCCAAUUAAUCUUAGCUUCAUCAAGGAAAAAAUCCCAGAGAAGUAUUGUUCCUCAAUUCAGCUAGUGGAACUCCACUUACCAAACUUGCCUGAACUUCCUCCUCAUUACCACACAACCAAUGGCCUUCCAAAACAUCUCAAACCAACUCUCUUUAAAGCCCUCAAGAUGGCCAGACCACAAUUUCACGAAAUCUUGAGUGCUAAGAAACCUGAUCUUUUGAUAUAUGAUAUAAUGCUCUUAUGGUCAUCUGUGGUUGCAACUACUCUCAACAUCCCAUCAAUAAAAUUCUACACUGUAAAUGCAGCUAUAUUUAGUUACUUUUUCCAUUUUUAUUACAAACCAGGAGAGCAAUUCCCUUUUCCAGCUCUGUAUCUCACGGAAUACGAGCAAGGCAAAAUGACACAUGAAGUUGUUAAUGAUGCGGAGGAAGAAGUUGACAGAGACAAUAUU
Molecule: long non-coding RNA, 4319 nt
Filed under: Capsicum annuum
Lineage: Eukaryota; Viridiplantae; Streptophyta; Magnoliopsida; Solanales; Solanaceae
Description: long non-coding RNA (CANN_LNC011588)
Source: RNAcentral